CGUUAGCAAUUGGUGUUUUUUUUGUAGUGCAAGGGCUAAACAAAUAACUUCGUACAAUUUCCUCGUCACCCAUACACUAGUAUAAACAAGACAUCGUAUUAUUCAACAUCAAAUACAAGUGAGAAUAAUACAGUAAUAUACGAGCUCUCGAAGUUUUGUCAAUAAGCACAUGUAAAAUCAGCAAAUUUACGAGAAAUUAGCGGUCCAAGACCAAGCAAAACUUGUAAAUCUUCAGUAUAUCCUCGUGUUGUAUGACUGCCCAAGAGUUGUUGGCGAAGUUUAUAUGAGAUGGGAGUAAUGCAUAGAAUUCCCUCGAACGAUUAACUCAAGCCUGACCAACAAGAACAUCCUUAUAUGGAGUUGGGGCAACAAUAGUUGAUGUUGUUCCCUCGUCGGGUGAGUUUCUCCUUCUCCUUUGCUCUUCUAUAUUAGUGGCAUUUGCUCCUCUCUUUCUUGCAUUAAUCGUUCCUGUGCUCCACCUCGUAGCUUCUCUAGCCUCAAUUCACUCAUUUGUUGCAUCUUGAACACUUUUACCACGUUCAUUAGUCCCCCAAUGAGAAGCAAUAGGCUCCCAAAUAUUCCCAACCACGCCCAGUCUCCACUCUGAAUCAUUUCAGAAUUAUACAAUUACUUGAUCAAACUAUGCAAAAGGUGUUGGAAUAAAUCCAAAUAUAACACUAUAGCCUUCAUAUCGAAUUACUUGGAAUUAUAACA
Molecule: long non-coding RNA, 714 nt
Filed under: Nicotiana benthamiana
Lineage: Eukaryota; Viridiplantae; Streptophyta; Magnoliopsida; Solanales; Solanaceae
Description: long non-coding RNA (NBEN_LNC041908)
Source: RNAcentral